GAUCAUUAUUGAAAUAAACCUGAUGAGCUGUUGCUGGUUCUCUAGGGAGCAUGUGCACGCUUGUCAUCUUUAUAUCUCCACCUGUGCACCUUUUGUAGACCUGAAUAUCUCUCUGAGUGCUGCUAGUCACUCAGGUUUGGGGAUUGACUUUAUGUCUCUCCUUACAUUUUCAGGCCUAUGUUUCUUCAUAUACCCUAAUGUAUGUCAUAGAAUGUUAUCAAUGGGCCUUUGUGCCUAUAAAUCUAUACAACUUUCAGCAACGGAUCUCUUGGCUCUCGCAUCGAUGAAGAACGCAGCGAAAUGCGAUAAGUAAUGUGAAUUGCAGAAUUCAGUGAAUCAUCGAAUCUUUGAACGCACCUUGCGCUCCUUGGUAUUCCGAGGAGCAUGCCUGUUUGAGUGUCAUUAAUAUAUAUCAACCUCUUCAGCUUUUGGUUGUUGAGUGUUGGAUGUGGGGGUUUUUGCUGGUCUUUUAAAAAGGUCAGCUCCCCUGAAAUGCAUUAGCAGAACAAUUUGUGGACCGUUCAUUGGUGUGAUAACUAUCUACGCUGUUGACGUGAAGCCAGUUCUGCUUCUAACAGUCCAUUGAAUUGGACAAAUUUUCAUUAAUGUGACCUCAAAUC
Molecule: ribosomal RNA, 620 nt
Filed under: Phlegmacium kytoevuorii
Lineage: Eukaryota; Fungi; Basidiomycota; Agaricomycetes; Agaricales; Cortinariaceae
Description: eukaryotic LSU rRNA
Rfam family: 5.8S ribosomal RNA (bases 249-402)
Source: RNAcentral